GAUUGCAGAGCAAGGAGAAGAGCAGUUCCUGGCACCAGGGAGAUGCUUCCAGAUCGGCACCGAGCCCUGGGGCUCUCAGCAUUGGCACUUUGGCUCCGCUUCCUGCACCUCUGAGAGUAUUGAGUGGUUCUGCAUUAGCAAAGAUUUGCUCCUGGAAGUAAUGAUAACGCAUAAGGCAUGGAAAGGACAAAGUGUCAACGCUGCCCACUGAUCUAAGAUUGUGUAAAUAAUGUUUCAGACUAUGAAAAUCAAAUUUUAAUACAAUUUGAAUAUGGUUUAAAGCCUGUAUUGGCUCCAGCUGUUGAAAGGAAAAGAAACUGUGCUAAAGCAAAUGAUCAACCAUCCCUGUGCACAGGAGAGGUUGGUUUAUUUCCAGUUUUCUAUUGCUAUGGCAGUUUACUACUUAUUGUCUGGGCUGAAGUUAUUUGUAAAGAUAGCUACCAAGCAGUAUUUGAAUGUCUAUUUUACAAUUGUGUUCUUUCAAGCACUUGCUUGCUUAUACAAAGUAACAUUCAGUAAAGCAAUGUUGAGCUUUAUAUUGUGAUUAGAUCCAUUCACAAGAACACUAUGUGGUGGUUUUCCUCACCUAAGAAUUACUGUUUUUGUAAAAUAGCUCUGAUAGCUGUGUGAACGUUCUCAGUGAAUAUAUUACAGGUUAAUGUUCAUGUAUUGUUUUAGAUCUUGAUUCACACUAAAAUUCAAUAUAACCUCACAAUUGGAGUUUCUGCUCUAAAUGACAAUUUACAAUGAAGUCUUAGGUACUGAGAUUUUAAAAACUUACACCAAAUAACAAUAUCAUAAUCCUCAUAUGCAGAUGUCAGGAAUUCAUGAAGGUAUGGCCUCAUAAGUUCUACUCCAGUUUCAGCACAUGACCUGUGGUCUAAAAAGAAUGAGAGAGAAGCAAUUCAUUAUUCAAUUUAGGAUGUUAAUUAUGACUUUCCUACCUACCCAGAGACCUGAAACAUUUCUUAAGGGAAGCACCGGGGUGAUUUGAAACCAUGAAUGAAUUCACAGCAAACUACUAUUCCCACAUUAAAGGUGAGAAAAGUAGAAGGGAUAUUUAUUUGUUGAUCUUCAGGUAUUUGAGAGCUUGCUUAAUAUAUGAGAGCUGAGGGUCUGAAUAUCUUUGAAGAGUCUGGACAUAUAGUUCAUCUAUGCACUUUAGCAAAUUUCUAAGUGCCCAGAUACUGAACAGAGAUUUUUGUAAACUCUGUCCAGUUAAUCUUGUGAAUGUGUAUCAAAUCUUUUUCAAAUGUGCAAACAUUGCCCGUUCCAAUUAGAAAACUGCUGUCAGAUUCUUCUAGCAGGAGAUGUGUAAAUAAAAAUGUUGAGUAAUAGGUUGAAUUCUCAUUUUGGAUCAUAAAUGAAACUUACAAAAAAGUAAGGAAAGGAAAAAGGCAAGUUAUUAUUUACUGGUUAUAGUCAAACUGCCAUGACACACCCAGAUCCCAGAAAAUGAAGUCAGAAGGGAAAUUCUGGCUAAGAAAACCAGUUAGACAGAAUUUUCAGGUAAAACGUGGUUUUGUACAUGUUUAACAACCUGGAAAUACAAUUAGAAGCUAUUCUCCCACCCCAAAAAAGGAAUCAAUCAUGUACAGAAAGACAAUUAAUUUACAGCAGUAGCUUGUCCUGACGCCAUGAUAUCUAACACACAAGCUGGCCAAGAGAGUUUAGAAUUUUAUCCAAGUAACCUAUUUUUGCAUCAUCUUAGAGAAAGUAAAUAGUUGUUACACUAAAAUCAACGUUAUACAACAUUUAAAAAGCCUGAUUCUUUUUACGAUAUGAGCAGAGGACCCCAAAAAUGUUAUGAAGCUGAAGCUAUACAAUACAAUGCAGGCCAAAGUUACGGAAAUGGCUUCAUAAAGCAAAAAUCAGUAAAUGUGAACUGGCAAAUGAACAGCCCUCUUAAAACCCACAAGUUGCAUAAAAUCUCA
This is a non-coding RNA of Anas platyrhynchos (mallard), 1934 nucleotides long. The record is from RefSeq and is a predicted model, not a curated record. NCBI's taxonomy places the organism in Eukaryota, Metazoa, Chordata, Aves, Anseriformes, Anatidae.